Molecule: ribosomal RNA, 1247 nt
Filed under: Arthrobacter sp. D6r1-5
Lineage: Bacteria; Bacillati; Actinomycetota; Actinomycetes; Micrococcales; Micrococcaceae
Description: bacterial SSU rRNA
Rfam family: Bacterial small subunit ribosomal RNA
Source: RNAcentral
UAGUGGCGAACGGGUGAGUAACACGUGAGUAACCUGCCCUUGACUCUGGGAUAAGCCUGGGAAACUGGGUCUAAUACCGGAUACGACCAUCUGGCGCAUGUCAUGGUGGUGGAAAGCUUUUGUGGUUUUGGAUGGACUCGCGGCCUAUCAGCUUGUUGGUGGGGUAAUGGCCUACCAAGGCGACGACGGGUAGCCGGCCUGAGAGGGUGACCGGCCACACUGGGACUGAGACACGGCCCAGACUCCUACGGGAGGCAGCAGUGGGGAAUAUUGCACAAUGGGCGCAAGCCUGAUGCAGCGACGCCGCGUGAGGGAUGACGGCCUUCGGGUUGUAAACCUCUUUCAGUAGGGAAGAAGCGAAAGUGACGGUACCUGCAGAAGAAGCGCCGGCUAACUACGUGCCAGCAGCCGCGGUAAUACGUAGGGCGCAAGCGUUAUCCGGAAUUAUUGGGCGUAAAGAGCUCGUAGGCGGUUUGUCGCGUCUGCUGUGAAAGACCGGGGCUCAACUCCGGUUCUGCAGUGGGUACGGGCAGACUAGAGUGCAGUAGGGGAGACUGGAAUUCCUGGUGUAGCGGUGAAAUGCGCAGAUAUCAGGAGGAACACCGAUGGCGAAGGCAGGUCUCUGGGCUGUAACUGACGCUGAGGAGCGAAAGCAUGGGGAGCGAACAGGAUUAGAUACCCUGGUAGUCCAUGCCGUAAACGUUGGGCACUAGGUGUGGGGGACAUUCCACGUUUUCCGCGCCGUAGCUAACGCAUUAAGUGCCCCGCCUGGGGAGUACGGCCGCAAGGCUAAAACUCAAAGGAAUUGACGGGGGCCCGCACAAGCGGCGGAGCAUGCGGAUUAAUUCGAUGCAACGCGAAGAACCUUACCAAGGCUUGACAUGAACCGGAAAGACCUGGAAACAGGUGCCCCGCUUGCGGUCGGUUUACAGGUGGUGCAUGGUUGUCGUCAGCUCGUGUCGUGAGAUGUUGGGUUAAGUCCCGCAACGAGCGCAACCCUCGUUCUAUGUUGCCAGCGCGUUAUGGCGGGGACUCAUAGGAGACUGCCGGGGUCAACUCGGAGGAAGGUGGGGACGACGUCAAAUCAUCAUGCCCCUUAUGUCUUGGGCUUCACGCAUGCUACAAUGGCCGGUACAAAGGGUUGCGAUACUGUGAGGUGGAGCUAAUCCCAAAAAGCCGGUCUCAGUUCGGAUUGGGGUCUGCAACUCGACCCCAUGAAGUCGGAGUCGCUAGUAAUCGCAGAUCAG